UAACAGGAUUAGAUACCCUGGUAGUCCACGCCGUAAACGAUGAGUGCUAAGUGUUGGAGGGUUUCCGCCCUUCAGUGCUGCAGCUAACGCAUUAAGCACUCCGCCUGGGGAGUACGGCCGCAAGGCUGAAACUCAAAGGAAUUGACGGGGACCCGCACAAGCGGUGGAGCAUGUGGUUUAAUUCGAAGCAACGCGAAGAACCUUACCAGGUCUUGACAUCCUUUGACCACUCUAGAGAUAGAGCUUCCCCUUCGGGGACAAAGUGACAGGUGGUGCAUGGUUGUCGUCAGCUCGUGUCGUGAGAUGUUGGGUUAAGUCCCGCAACGAGCGCAACCCUUAUUACUAGUUGCCAGCAUUUAGUUGGGCACUCUAGUGAGACUGCCGGUGACAAACCGGAGGAAGGUGGGGAUGACGUCAAAUCAUCAUGCCCCUUAUGACCUGGGCUACACACGUGCUACAAUGGAUGGUACAACGAGUCGCAAGGUCGCGAGGCCAAGCUAAUCUCUUAAAGCCAUUCUCAGUUCGGAUUGUAGGCUGCAACUCGCCUACAUGAAGCCGGAAUCGCUAGUAAUCGCGGAUCAGAACGCCGCGGUGAAUACGUUCCCGGGUCUUGUACACACCGCCCGUCACACCACGAGAGUUUGUAACACCCGAAGCCGGUGAGGUAACCUUUUAGGAGCCAGCCGUCUAAGGUGGGAUAGAUAAUUGGGGUGAAGUCGUAACAAGGUAACCA
This 733-nucleotide ribosomal RNA is filed under the name uncultured bacterium. RNAcentral describes it as "bacterial SSU rRNA". It matches the Rfam family "Bacterial small subunit ribosomal RNA", at positions 770 to 1502 of the family's 1533-position model. The record is from RNAcentral.